This 497-nucleotide ribosomal RNA is filed under the name uncultured bacterium. RNAcentral's name for it is "partial 16S ribosomal RNA". It matches the Rfam family "Bacterial small subunit ribosomal RNA", at positions 28 to 507 of the family's 1533-position model. The record is from RNAcentral.
GAUGAACGCUGGCGGCGUGCCUAAUACAUGCAAGUCGAGCGAACAGACGAGGAGCUUGCUCCUUCGGCGUUAGCGGCGGACGGGUGAGUAACACGUAGGUAACCUACCUAUAAGACUGGGAUAACUUCGGGAAACCGGAGCUAAUACCGGAUAAUAUUUCGAACCGCAUGGUUCGAUAGUGAAAGAUGGCUUUGCUAUCACUUAUAGAUGGACCUGCGCCGUAUUAGCUAGUUGGUAAGGUAACGGCUUACCAAGGCAACGAUACGUAGCCGACCUGAGAGGGUGAUCGGCCACACUGGAACUGAGACACGGUCCAGACUCCUACGGGAGGCAGCAGUAGGGAAUCUUCCGCAAUGAGCGAAAGCCUGACGGAGCAACGCCGCGUGAGUGAUGAAGGUCUUCGGAUCGUAAAACUCUGUUAUUAGGGAAGAACAAACGUGUAAGUAACUGUGCACGUCUUGACGGUACCUAAUCAGAAAGCCACGGCUAACUACGUG